Verrucomicrobia bacterium SCGC AG-212-E04 is the source of this 73-nucleotide transfer RNA. It matches the Rfam family "tRNA". From Rfam's summary of the family: Transfer RNA (tRNA) molecules are approximately 80 nucleotides in length. The record is from Rfam. NCBI's taxonomy places the organism in Bacteria, Pseudomonadati, Verrucomicrobiota.
GGGGGUAUAGCUCAGUUGGUAGAGCGUCUCGUUCGCAAUGAGAAGGCCAGGGGUUCGAAUCCCCUUACCUCCA